RNAcentral lists this ribosomal RNA (1455 nucleotides) under Klebsiella sp. 2009I3. RNAcentral describes it as "16S ribosomal RNA". It matches the Rfam family "Bacterial small subunit ribosomal RNA". Lineage: Bacteria; Pseudomonadati; Pseudomonadota; Gammaproteobacteria; Enterobacterales; Enterobacteriaceae. The record is from RNAcentral.
ACGCUGGCGGCAGGCCUAACACAUGCAAGUCGAGCGGUAGCACAGAGAGCUUGCUCUCGGGUGACGAGCGGCGGACGGGUGAGUAAUGUCUGGGAAACUGCCUGAUGGAGGGGGAUAACUACUGGAAACGGUAGCUAAUACCGCAUAACGUCGCAAGACCAAAGUGGGGGACCUUCGGGCCUCAUGCCAUCAGAUGUGCCCAGAUGGGAUUAGCUGGUAGGUGGGGUAACGGCUCACCUAGGCGACGAUCCCUAGCUGGUCUGAGAGGAUGACCAGCCACACUGGAACUGAGACACGGUCCAGACUCCUACGGGAGGCAGCAGUGGGGAAUAUUGCACAAUGGGCGCAAGCCUGAUGCAGCCAUGCCGCGUGUGUGAAGAAGGCCUUCGGGUUGUAAAGCACUUUCAGCGGGGAGGAAGGCGGUGAGGUUAAUAACCUCAUCGAUUGACGUUACCCGCAGAAGAAGCACCGGCUAACUCCGUGCCAGCAGCCGCGGUAAUACGGAGGGUGCAAGCGUUAAUCGGAAUUACUGGGCGUAAAGCGCACGCAGGCGGUCUGUCAAGUCGGAUGUGAAAUCCCCGGGCUCAACCUGGGAACUGCAUUCGAAACUGGCAGGCUAGAGUCUUGUAGAGGGGGGUAGAAUUCCAGGUGUAGCGGUGAAAUGCGUAGAGAUCUGGAGGAAUACCGGUGGCGAAGGCGGCCCCCUGGACAAAGACUGACGCUCAGGUGCGAAAGCGUGGGGAGCAAACAGGAUUAGAUACCCUGGUAGUCCACGCUGUAAACGAUGUCGAUUUGGAGGUUGUGCCCUUGAGGCGUGGCUUCCGGAGCUAACGCGUUAAAUCGACCGCCUGGGGAGUACGGCCGCAAGGUUAAAACUCAAAUGAAUUGACGGGGGCCCGCACAAGCGGUGGAGCAUGUGGUUUAAUUCGAUGCAACGCGAAGAACCUUACCUGGUCUUGACAUCCACAGAACUUUCCAGAGAUGGAUUGGUGCCUUCGGGAACUGUGAGACAGGUGCUGCAUGGCUGUCGUCAGCUCGUGUUGUGAAAUGUUGGGUUAAGUCCCGCAACGAGCGCAACCCUUAUCCUUUGUUGCCAGCGGUUAGGCCGGGAACUCAAAGGAGACUGCCAGUGAUAAACUGGAGGAAGGUGGGGAUGACGUCAAGUCAUCAUGGCCCUUACGACCAGGGCUACACACGUGCUACAAUGGCAUAUACAAAGAGAAGCGACCUCGCGAGAGCAAGCGGACCUCAUAAAGUAUGUCGUAGUCCGGAUUGGAGUCUGCAACUCGACUCCAUGAAGUCGGAAUCGCUAGUAAUCGUAGAUCAGAAUGCUACGGUGAAUACGUUCCCGGGCCUUGUACACACCGCCCGUCACACCAUGGGAGUGGGUUGCAAAAGAAGUAGGUAGCUUAACCUUCGGGAGGGCGCUUACCACUUUGUGAUUCAUGACUGGGG